GACGAACGCUGGCGGCGUGCCUAAUACAUGCAAGUUGAGCGCUGAAGGUUGGUACUUGUACCAACUGGAUGAGCAGCGAACGGGUGAGUAACGCGUGGGGAAUCUGCCUUUGAGCGGGGGACAACAUUUGGAAACGAAUGCUAAUACCGCAUAAAAACUUUAAACACAAGUUUUAAGUUUGAAAGAUGCAAUUGCAUCACUCAAAGAUGAUCCCGCGUUGUAUUAGCUAGUUGGGGAGGUAAAGGCUCACCAAGGCGAUGAUACAUAGCCGACCUGAGAGGGGGAUCGGCCACAUUGGGACUGAGACACGGCCCAAACUCCUACGGGAGGCAGCAGUAGGGAAUCUUCGGCAAGGGACGAAAGUCUGACCGAGCAACGCCGCGGGAGGGAAGAAGGGUUUCGGAUCGGAAAACUCUGUUGGUAGAGAAGAACGUUGGUGAGAGUGGAAAGCUCAUCAAGUGACGGUAACUACCCAGAAAGGGACGGCUAACUACGUG
Molecule: ribosomal RNA, 497 nt
Filed under: uncultured bacterium
Lineage: Bacteria
Description: partial 16S ribosomal RNA
Rfam family: Bacterial small subunit ribosomal RNA
Source: RNAcentral